GCGGAUGUGGUGGAAUUGGUAGACACGCUAUCUUGAGGGGGUAGUGGCGCAAGCUGUGUGGGUUCGAGUCCCACCAUCCGCACCA
RNAcentral lists this transfer RNA (85 nucleotides) under Pseudofulvimonas gallinarii. RNAcentral describes it as "tRNA-Leu". It matches the Rfam family "tRNA". Rfam says of the family: Transfer RNA (tRNA) molecules are approximately 80 nucleotides in length. Lineage: Bacteria; Pseudomonadati; Pseudomonadota; Gammaproteobacteria; Lysobacterales; Rhodanobacteraceae. RNAcentral also lists the same sequence under 2 other names. The record is from RNAcentral.